Oryza sativa Japonica Group (Japanese rice) is the source of this 897-nucleotide long non-coding RNA. RefSeq lists it as uncharacterized. Lineage: Eukaryota; Viridiplantae; Streptophyta; Magnoliopsida; Poales; Poaceae. The record is from RefSeq and is a predicted model, not a curated record.
UUCUUUUGUCCUUACAUGUGUUAUGCCUUCAUAUCAAGUGCAGGAUCUUUUUAUUGACACUUGUAAAUGUUUUAUGUUAGGCACCCUCAUUGGCAGUAGACAAGUGGAGCCAAGGGGGAAGAGCAUGGGCACUGCAAUUGACAGUGAGCCCACUGUAAUUGAUCUCUUCAAUGAGUUGCAUUGCAGCAAACUAAAGGUUUUAGUGAACCUGUAAAGAAAGCUAUAGAGGAUAUGCAUGCCCGGGAAACCCUCACUUCAUCAUCAGGGCCUCCUUCGACAAAUGAUAGCAUUUGGACAGGGUCUGAUCAGUCCUCCCUAAGCUAGUUGUAUGCUCAGGAAUGAGGUGGCUGAGCUUGGAAUUUGAUGGCUCGUGUUAGUGUAGUUGAACUUCGAGGCUGUGAUCGCUUUUGGUACUUCAGAACUUGGUGGUGUAUGUGGCUGCUAUUGUAUGGUGUAUGUGGCUGCUAGAACUUGGUGCUAGCUGCUGGUUGCUUGCGGGUUGGCACUUUUGGUGGCUGGAGUUUUUUUUGCGUUGGUUGCUAGAACACAGGAUUUUUUGGCACUAGUUGUUGGCUGCUGGUAGGAUGCAGGCCGAAAGUGCAGUGGCUGCUUGGUGGAAUUUUUUUCCUGGCUGCUGGCAAGAUGCACGCCAAAACUUAGUAGUGGCUGCUAGGUGGAAUUUUUUUGGUGCAGGAACUUGACACUACCUGUAGGAACUUCAUAGUCGGCUGGGACUUGUGUAGUUGGAUGGUGGAUGGAAUAUUUUGUAUUCAUGUUUCGUGCUUUUGUAUGGAACAUGUUGGAAACUGUAUUCUGGAACUUGCUUUUGUAUGGGCUGGAAAAUUAAUUAUGGCUGGAAUGUGAUUAUAAUAUGAUUAUGCAAAUGGUUGUGGUUUA